CCUACGGGAGGCAGCAGUGGGGAAUCUUAGACAAUGGGGGAAACCCUGAUCUAGCCAUGCCGCGUGAGUGACGAAGGCCUUAGGGUCGUAAAGCUCUUUCGCCAGGGAAGAUAAUGACGGUACCUGGUAAAGAAACCCCGGCUAACUCCGUGCCAGCAGCCGCGGUAAU
This 169-nucleotide ribosomal RNA is filed under the name uncultured bacterium. RNAcentral describes it as "partial 16S ribosomal RNA". It matches the Rfam family "Bacterial small subunit ribosomal RNA", at positions 338 to 524 of the family's 1533-position model. The record is from RNAcentral.